GACACUGACAGUCCGCCUCCAGUGUGACUCGUUUGUCCAGAUGAUACUUCCAGACUCUGUUCAUCAUCUGCUGAAAAGAUGGCGACCCAAGCCAGUGUGGUCCCCGGAGCCCCAUGGCAAAUUCCGUGUUGUCUGCUGGCACGUCUGCCCGUGGACUCACAGACUCAGGCCCAUAAAGUAGAGACAUGCAUGAGAUAUCAGUUGAACACAGGACACAAAGAAGACAGAAGGAUGUGAGUGGUGACAGUGACCCAACCAGUGACUCUCUGACUCUUGAGCUGCAACGUACAGGACAGAGCUGGACACCAGCAGGGCAGCCCGGACACAGCGUCCCAGGCGGUGGCUCAGCAAGGGGCUGCUCCGAGGGACCCGCCCCAGUCCAUGUGCUCUGUCAGCUGUCCCAUGGCCCACACAGCUCCACCCUAACUGACUCUGGAGACCUCCCAGCCCAGGCCACACGGUAAAGACUGUGUCCCGCUGGAUAGACCGCACCCCCCACUCCGCUCUGGCCUCUUGCAGAUCCGGGACCCGCCGAACCAGGGCCCCCCUCCCUGCGGCCACCACAACCUCCCACAUCAGUCAGAUGUUCGUUCCUGGUCUUCACACAGCCUCAGCCCAUACGCAUCUCCUAUUAAAAGUCUUUCCCUCCACCUGGUUGCUAAAGGAAGGAUCAGGAAAGUCACUACUGAAUCUUUCUGCUCCUCCCUGUGCCUUGUGGGAGCUGUUAGUAAUGCCUCCACAGUCCCCCCACCAACACA
This is a long non-coding RNA of Suricata suricatta (meerkat), 758 nucleotides long. RefSeq lists it as uncharacterized. The record is from RefSeq and is a predicted model, not a curated record. Lineage: Eukaryota; Metazoa; Chordata; Mammalia; Carnivora; Herpestidae. The transcript is spliced from 2 exons.